UUGACCUCAAAUCAGGUAGGACUACCCGCUGAACUUAAGCAUAUCAAUAAGCGGAGGAAAAGAAACUAACAAGGAUUCCCCUAGUAACUGCGAGUGAAGCGGGAAAAGCUCAAAUUUGAAAUCUGGCRGUUCUUGAACUGUCCGAGUUGUAAUCUAGAGAAGUGUUACCUGUGCUGGACCGUGUACAAGUCUCCUGGAAUGGAGCAUCACAGAGGGUGAGAAUCCCGUCUUUGACAUGGACUGCCUGUACGAUAUGGUGCGCUCUCGAAGAGUCGAGUUGUUUGGGAAUGCAGCUCAAAAUGGGUGGUAAAUGCCAUCUAAAGCUAAAUAUUGGCGAGAGACCGAUAGCGAACAAGUACCGUGAGGGAAAGAUGAAAAGAACUUUGGAAAGAGAGUUAAACAGUACGUGAAAUUGCUGAAAGGGAAACGCUUGAAGUCAGUCGCGUCGGCUAGAAAUCAGCCUUUGCUUUUGCUUGGUGUACUUUCUGGUUGAUGGGUCAGCAUCAAUUUUGACCAUCGGAUAAAGUCAUUGGGAAUGUGGCAUCUUAGGAUGUGUUAUAGCCCAUUGUCGCAUACGGUGGUUGGGAUUGAGGAACUCAGCAUGAGCGAGAUGACGCUCGUGCUUAGGAUGCUGGCAUAAUGGCUUUAAUCGACCCGUC
This 659-nucleotide ribosomal RNA is filed under the name Inocybe nitidiuscula. RNAcentral's name for it is "eukaryotic LSU rRNA". It matches the Rfam family "Eukaryotic large subunit ribosomal RNA", at positions 1 to 653 of the family's 3401-position model. Lineage: Eukaryota; Fungi; Basidiomycota; Agaricomycetes; Agaricales; Inocybaceae. The record is from RNAcentral.